Non-coding RNA from Callorhinus ursinus (northern fur seal), 634 nucleotides. NCBI's taxonomy places the organism in Eukaryota, Metazoa, Chordata, Mammalia, Carnivora, Otariidae. The record is from RefSeq and is a predicted model, not a curated record.
GACGAUCGAGGUGCCGGAUGUGAAGAGCGGGAGCGUGGAGACUCGGAGCCCGAGCCACAAAAGAUUGCACACAAACUGGUUUGAUGCUCUCCUGACCAGUGUCCCUUCUCUGAUGCUUGGUCCUGAAGGCAGUGGAAGCCAAACUUACCCUGGCGCUGUCUGCUGAGCUGUGCAGAAUUUCCAACAUUGAAGAUGGAGCAUCAGUUUUAUUUUUAUUUAAGUAAUUGUACACCCAACGUGGGGCUCAAACUCACCACCCCAAGAUCAAGAAUCACGUGCUUUUCCGACUCAGCCAGCCAGGUGCCCCUCUAAUCUGUUUUUCUUCAUUUAUAAUCCUUAAGCCAGUUGCCGUGUUGAGACGCUCUCCUGGCCAGGAAAUGAGGCGCCUGCCAAUAGUCGUGUGGUGUGCCAUCCUGGAAUUGGAUCCUUGAGCCCUGGCCGAGCCUUCAGGUAGACUGCAGCCUGGCAGAGAGUUGCAGUGCCACCUCAAGAGAAAGCCUGAGCCAGAACUGCACAGAUGAGCUGCUCCUGACUCUCAGAAAUGGUGUGAGAUAAUAAACAUUUGUUGUUUUAAGCCACCAGAUUAUGGGUUAUUUGUUAUGUAACAACUAAUAAACUGCUUGCGAAUUUGUGA